RNAcentral lists this ribosomal RNA (385 nucleotides) under uncultured bacterium. Its description in RNAcentral is "bacterial SSU rRNA". It matches the Rfam family "Bacterial small subunit ribosomal RNA", at positions 29 to 398 of the family's 1533-position model. The record is from RNAcentral.
AACGAACGCUGGCGGCGUGCUUAACACAUGCAAGUCGAACGUGAUUCGGAGCUUGCUCCGAUGAAAGUGGCGCACGGGUGAGUAUCGCGUGGAUAACCUACCCUGGUGUCUGGGAUAACAUCUCGAAAGGGGUGCUAAUACCGGAUAAGCCCACGGGAUCUUCGGAUUCUGCGGGAAAAGGAGGCCUCUAUUUAUAAGCUUCUGCAUCAUGAUGGGUCCGCGUACCAUUAGCUAGUUGGUGGGGUAAUGGCCUACCAAGGCUACGAUGGUUAGCUGGUCUGAGAGGAUGAUCAGCCACACUGGAACUGAGACACGGUCCAGACUCCUACGGGAGGCAGCAGUGGGGAAUUUUGCGCAAUGGGGGAAACCCUGACGCAGCAACGCC